Molecule: long non-coding RNA, 4104 nt
Organism: Propithecus coquereli (Coquerel's sifaka)
Lineage: Eukaryota; Metazoa; Chordata; Mammalia; Primates; Indriidae
Exons: 3
Source: RefSeq, a predicted model, not a curated record
CGGCCGAAGCCCGCCCUUCGCCAUUUCCUGGAGAUCUCGUCUGUUCGUGAUAAGUCACCUCGACUUCUGUGCUUCUGAAAAUAAGUUUAAUUAGCCUUGAUCUUAAAAGGUUAUUUUCACAGGACACAGAAUUCUAGGUUGAUGUUUUCUUUUUCCCUUCAGCACUUCGGAGACGCCCGUCCACCGUGUCCCGGCGCUGCUGUUCCUGACUGGAGGCCGCGGUGACCCUUGGCUUAGUUCUGCAACGUGUAAUGGGUCUUCUUGGUUUUUUUUUGGCCGCUUUUAUGGUAUCAUUAGUUUUUAACGAAAUCCUUGGUUUUCCCGUAUCACUAGUUUUUAGAAAUUUGCUUAUGAUGUGCUUUAAUAUGGUUUUAUUUUCAUUUAUAUUGUUUGAGUAUUUUGAGUUUCUUGGACUUGAGAGUUUCUGGUUUUGAUCAAUUUGGAAAACUUUUGAUCAUUAUUCUUCAAAACAUUUUCUGCCACCUUUCUGGGACUCCAAUUUGGUGUUCGGUUUAUAGGUAUUUAUAUUAGCCUGUUAUUGUACCUUAGGUCAUUGAGGUUCUGCUCAUUUUUUAAAUACUUUUUCUAACUAUGCUUCAUUUCAGAUAGAUUCUGUUACAUGUCUUCAAACUGAGUGGUCUUUGUUUCUGCAGCAUUUGGUCUGCUGUGAAGGCCAUCAGUGACUGUUCCAUUCAGAUAAUACGUAUAACGUGACUCUGGAAGUUAUAUUUGGUUCUUCAUGUAUUUUAUUUUUUCCGAGUAUUACGUUCAAAAUGUUCCUUUCAGUCAUUAAGUAUAUUUAUGAUAGUUGCUUUAAAGUACUCAUCUAUUAAUUCCAUCAUCUCUUCCAUUUCCAGGUGUGUGUGUUGACCAGCUUUUCUCCCAAGUCCCAUUUUCUCCCUGCUUCUUCACGUCUAUUAACUUGUGCUUGGACGCUGACCAUCGCGGUGUUAUGCUGUUGAACACCUGGAUUUUAUUAUCCUCCUUUACAGACUGUUGUACUUUGCUUGGUAGGAAUUUGGGUAACUUGCUUAUCGACUCCAUCCUUUUGAGGCUUGGUUUAAGGUUUACUGGGGCAGGUCUAGAGUAGCUUUUGUUCUAGGACUAGUUGAGCUCCUCGCCUAAGGGAUGACCCCUUUAGGGUCUUUAGCAAAUGUCUUGAGUUUUUCAAUGAGGUCUCUUUGCUCCAGCUUGACGGAAUCAGGUGUGUGCUCUGGGAGGUUCUCAGUGCACGGCUCCCUGGUCUCCUAUGCGUACAUAGUUGGCAUUCGACAGCAGACCCAAGGAUGUGCUUACGAGAUUUCUGGAAUUUUUCUCUCUACAUCGUUCCCUAGCCUGUUCUCUGCGGACUCCAGGCACCCCAGCCUCCGCAGUUCCCACCUCUGUCUUCCCAGCUCAGUAAGGCCGAUGCUCUGCCUGGGCCCCUUCUCCCCGGGGUGCAAUCCGAAAACUAGAAAGCCCAAAUGAUCUCAAUCUUCUCCUCAUUCUCACCCUGUCACGGCGACGGUCCUAUCGUCCCCUGUCUGAGAACAGCCCCUUCGUGUGUGUCCUUCAGCGUCUUAGUCUUUUAUCCUGGGGGACGAGUCUGGUACCAGUUGCUUCGACAUGGCUAGAAGUCAUCAGAAAAGUCAACUUUUCUGAUUUUCUCAUUUUUCCAACAAAAUUAUAUUCGUUUUUAGUCAAAGAAGCACAACAGUGAUGUGGAUCCGUAUACAUAAAGAAAAAUCUGCGGCUCUCGUUUUCCUAAAUCCAUCAGAAACAAACCCUUUGUACUUUCAGCCAGGUUCUCACAGUAAAGAAAGGGACUUGUUCCUCACGUCCCUGACCAGGCCCUCGUGUCAGAGUCUGGGCGCUGCGUCACCCGAGGCCACUCCCUGCACAUAACCUUUCCUCCAUGGCAUUUUCACGGAACCCACAUAUAUUCUGGGGUUUCAUGUGGCCUCGUCCCUAUAAUUUAAAGUUAUAUUUUAAAAACAAAUCACCCCUAGAACUUGAAAACAUACAUAUAAAAUCACUAUAUCCUAUUUCCAAAGAUUCAUACAAUGGCAGCCAUAAAAAUAUCUGAAACUCUCUUUUAUUUGUAGAAUUCUCAAACUUUAGUGAUAUUGUCUCUUUUAAUUAUAAUUUCUUCUUUGAGUUCCGCACCAUCCGGCCUGCCGGCCAUGGUACCUGAUGGGCUUCUGGUUCCGCCUCACAGGUAAACUCAGCUUCUCUGCAAAGGGUGGAGGAUCCAGAAGUUUCCAAAUGUUCCUAAACCUUCACAAAGAAAAAUACUCCGAGAAACCUAGAAUUAUAGUUUUUCUCUUAUUCUGGCUGCUUUCCUUGUAUAAAAUACUCACUGAGAAUCUUUCAUUACUAAAAAUCUCCACCUCAUCUCAGACAGAUAGAAAGUAUAUUUAGAGGCACAGUUGGGUAUGUCGGAAAGAUUAUCUUUCCAUAGAGAGACAGCAGAGUAGGGGGAAUUUAGGCCACACACAAACAUGGGUUCCAGUAUUCACUUGCAAUAUAAUGUCAGGGAAGUUAUUUAAUUAAUCCAAAUCUUUGAUCUUGGAAUUUCUCAUCCAUAAAGUCCAAAUGAUAAUAUCUAGGGCUAAAAUUAUCUUUAGACACCGAAUGAGAGUAAGUAUAGAGCCCAGCAAACAGUAGGCACUCAGUAAGUAUCAACUUCCUUUUUGGGACAAGAAACUUAAUCUUUUGGAGCCUUUCCUCAUUUGCAAAAUAAAAAUUAUUAUAACGUCUUUAUAGGUUACUGCUGCGGUUUGAAUGUUUGUGCCUCUGGAACUGACGUUGAAACCUGACCCCACACUGAGAGUCAGCAGCAUCGUGAGGGGGCGGGUCAUGAGGGUGUCGCCUUGUAAACGGGUUAAUCCACUCAUGGGCUCAUGGAUUCCUGGGCUGGCUCAUUACCAGAUGGGUUAUCACAGCCUGGGUCAGUUAUCACAGAGUGGGUCAGUUAUCACAGAGUGGGUCAGUUAUCACGGAGUGGGUCAGUUAACACAGUGGUGGGUCAGUUAUCACGGAGCGGGUCAGUUAUAGAAGCCAGUUUGACUUUCUCGUGACCCUGGCCAUGGGACUCCCUGCACCACCCCAGGGCUCUGCAGAGUCCCGACCAGCAAGAAGUCUCUCCCCAGAUACAGACCCUCAGCCUUGGACUUCUCCUCCUCCACAACUUUCAGAAAUAAAUUUCUUUUCUUUAUAAAUUAUAUAGUCUUGGGUAUUUGGUUAUAUUACAGCAACAGAAGAAACGGACUAUGGCAGCUACUGUGAAAAUUAAGGCUGUUUCCUCGUAGGUGUGUUACAGUCUAGCAUACAGUAGACACAAGCAAACAGCAUGUUUGGCAAGAAUUCUCGAGGUAACAGAAGGCCCUACAGUGGCUUUAAAUCACAACCCUGUCUCAGUUUCGAAAUGUGAACAUCCAGUCUAGGGUAGUCUCAAACUCUGAACCUGAUUCAAAGUCCGAUGUCCUCUCCUCCCCGAGACCAUCUGGAGCCCCGAAGCCGGCAGAGUGAGCUGCAUGGAUGUUUUGAAUGGAUUUUAACACAUUUGUCCUGAAAAUGACUCAGAAAAAUUCCCAAAGAGUUGCUCCAGGGCCAUUUGAGAAACACGUGGAUUUGGGGCUGGUUCCCAGGCAGAGCCCUGCUCCGUGCAGACCCGACGGGGAGAGGAGGUCCUGACCCAGCAGCACCAGGGGCGCCUCCGGGACCUCGUCCCUGCCAAGGAAAUGGUGACUUGGACUCACGGCAAACGGCGAUUAGAGGAGGGAGGUGGAGUCCAGGCCGAGAUGAGCCUCAUGUCACGGAGAGGACACCGAGGUCACUUCCCUGAGGCCACCGGGAGGAACAGUGGAGUGAGGGGCAGACGUCUGUCUUCAGCUGACACAGGACGCACGUCCCUCAAGUGGUCUUCAAAAUCUGCCCCCUUCUAAGUGGAUAAAAACCAAGUGAGGUUCACAAGAGGUGAUUUGGUGCAGGGUUUUAUACUUUCCAGGAAUAGUUUUUAACAUGUUCAUAUUCGCAAGGCCUCUUCCCGGGAACACAAAGGUGUGUUAGGUGUCGUCUCUGCUUUUAGGGAGCUAAGGAUCUUUUUUUUUUUUUUUUUUUUUU